This 87-nucleotide transfer RNA is filed under the name Pseudomonas putida. RNAcentral describes it as "tRNA-Ser". The record is from RNAcentral. Lineage: Bacteria; Pseudomonadati; Pseudomonadota; Gammaproteobacteria; Pseudomonadales; Pseudomonadaceae.
GGGCGCGUGGGAUGGGGCUUUAUCCCACGGUCUUGAAAACCGUCGAUGGGCAACUAUCCUAGAGUUCGAAUCUCUACGCUUCCGCCA